Molecule: unclassified non-coding RNA, 155 nt
Filed under: uncultured Phialemonium
Lineage: Eukaryota; Fungi; Ascomycota
Description: sequence contains ITS1
Source: RNAcentral
AAGAGUUCUGUAACUCUCCAAACCAUUUGUUUACCUACCUGUUUCGUUGCUUCGGCAGGCGGCCCCUCGGGGCCCUCGCCUACUGUAGGCGCCUGCCGGAGUAUCCAAAACUCUUGUUAAUUACUGUUCUGUCUGAGUAAGCUUUUAAUAAGUUA